This 253-nucleotide ribosomal RNA is filed under the name uncultured bacterium. RNAcentral describes it as "partial 16S ribosomal RNA". It matches the Rfam family "Bacterial small subunit ribosomal RNA", at positions 524 to 776 of the family's 1533-position model. The record is from RNAcentral.
UACGAAGGGGGCUAGCGUUGCUCGGAAUCACUGGGCGUAAAGCGCACGUAGGCGGAUCUUUAAGUCAGGGGUGAAAUCCUGGAGCUCAACUCCAGAACUGCCUUUGAUACUGGGGAUCUCGAGACCGGAAGAGGUAAGUGGAACUGCGAGUGUAGAGGUGAAAUUCGUAGAUAUUCGCAAGAACACCAGUGGCGAAGGCGGCUUACUGGUCCGGUUCUGACGCUGAGGUGCGAAAGCGUGGGGAGCAAACAGG